This is a long non-coding RNA of Syngnathus typhle (broad-nosed pipefish), 861 nucleotides long. RefSeq lists it as uncharacterized. The transcript is spliced from 2 exons. The record is from RefSeq and is a predicted model, not a curated record. NCBI's taxonomy places the organism in Eukaryota, Metazoa, Chordata, Actinopteri, Syngnathiformes, Syngnathidae.
GUCUGUUUGGAAACAUGAGCACACCUUCUAGAUGUGGCUUUGACAUUGUCGGUGAAGUCUUUUGGAAUGACCUUUUGACGCCGUCGUAGUCCCCACCGAAACCCAUAAUGCCAGCUCCUCCCACUUUCUUGAUGUGGUCAAAAUGAUCUAAAGUGAAAACACUUGGAUGGUUGAAAACUUGGCUUUGCACCACUUCCUCAUAUUCGCAAAGCUUGCGAUGGCGUGCCAGUCGAGUAGGCUACCGGCGACGUUGGCCAGAGUGGCGGUGGGGGAGCAGCUCACGUAGUCGUUGUAGAAGUUGAUCAUCACAAUUCCUCCACUUUCGUUCUGGACAGACGCAAAAUAGACGGCGUAGGCCGAAGAGUGGCUGAAGAUGACGGGCGCCUUGGACAGGUCCAGCGCCUGCUGCAUCACUGACACGGGCACGUGGGACAAGUCGAUCAGCAUGCCCAAGCGGUUCAUUUCCGCAAGCACUUGCUGGAAGGGAAGUAAGAUGAUUUCAUUUUUCAAAUGUUGUAAGCGCUCUUGUCGUUCCUCAUCCACUGCCGAGGAGCGCCGUUUCGGAAUCAUUUGGUUUUCAAACGUCAUUCGUACGACUGGUGUAAACUGACCUUGCCGAAAGGAGACAGGCCUUUGUUUUCAGAUGGUUCUGAUCCAGUGUCCACAAGCCAGUUAUCAGCCCUGACAAUUAAGUUUAUUUUGAAUGAAUGAAUCUACAAACUCACCCCAGCUGAAUAAAUACAGGGAAAUCAAUAAUGAUGAUUUGGGAAUUCGAUGGACUGACAAUUCCCGCUGGAUAUUUUUCACGGCCGAUGAUGUCGAAAUUUUUACACGGGUGCGUCCCUACCAGGGUACGUUGCA